RNAcentral lists this ribosomal RNA (2263 nucleotides) under uncultured Erysipelotrichaceae bacterium. Its description in RNAcentral is "partial contains 16S ribosomal RNA, 16S-23S ribosomal RNA intergenic spacer, and 23S ribosomal RNA". The stretch from base 1 to 1548 matches the Rfam family "Bacterial small subunit ribosomal RNA". Lineage: Bacteria; Bacillati; Bacillota; Erysipelotrichia; Erysipelotrichales; Erysipelotrichaceae. The record is from RNAcentral.
GAUGAACGCUGGCGGCAUGCCUAAGACAUGCAAGUCGAACGAGAUGGCCCAAUGAAGAAUGCGUGCUUGCACAAUUUCGGAUUUGGAUUACCGUCUAGUGGCGCAAGGGUGAGUAAUACGUGGGUAAUCUACCUUCGAGUUUGGAAUAACAAUUAGAAAUGAUUGCUAAUGCCGAAUUAUAUAUUUUAUGAUACGUCAUUUAAUAUUAAAAGGAGCCUUUAAAGCUUCGCUUGAAGAUGAGCCCACGCCGUAUUAGCUAGUUGGUGGGGUAAUGGCCUACCAAGGCAACGAUGCGUAGCCGACCUGAGAGGGUGAUCGGCCACACUGGGACUGAGACACGGCCCAGACUCCUACGGGAGACAGCAGUUAGGAAUAUUCGUCAAUGGGGGAAACCCUGAACGAGCAAUGCCGCGUGAAGGAUGACGGUCCUAUGGAUUGUAAACUUCUGUUGUUAGGGAAGAACGGCCUAUGUAGGAAAUGACAUAGGAGUGACGGUACCUUUCAAGAAAGCUCCGGCUAACUACGUGCCAGCAGCCGCGGUAAUACGUAGGGAGCAAGCGUUAUCCGGAUUUAUUGGGUGUAAAGGGUGCGUAGGCGGUUUAAUAGGUCUGUGGUCUAAGUCCGAAGCUUAACUUCGGUUCGCCAUAGAAACCGUUAAACUUGAGUAUGGUAGAGGCAAGUGGAAUUUCUAGUGUAGCGGUAAAAUGCGUAGAUAUUAGAAGGAACACCAGUGGCGAAGGCGACUUGCUGGGCCAUUACUGACGCUGAGGCACGAAAGCGUGGGGAGCAAAUAGGAUUAGAUACCCUAGUAGUCCACGCCGUAAACGAUGAAUACUAAGUGUCGGAAUUAUUCGGUGCUGAAGUUAACACAUUAAGUAUUCCACCUGAGUAGUACGGUCGCAAGGCUGAAACUCAAAGGAAUUGACGGGCACCCGCACAAGCGGUGGAGCAUGCUGUUUAAUUCGAAGAUACGCGAAGAACCUUACCUGGGCUUGACAUCCCACUGACCGUCUUAGAAAUAAGAUUUUCUCUUCGGAGACAGUGGUGACAGGUGGUGCAUGGUUGUCGUCAGCUCGUGUCGUGAGAUGUUCGGUUAAGUCCGAUAACGAGCGCAACCCUUGUCCUUAAUUGCUAACAUUUAGUUGAGAACCUUAAGGAGACUGCCGAUGAUAAAUCGGAGGAAGAUGGGGAUGACGUCAAAUCAUCAUGCCCCUUACGUCCAGGGCUACAGGCGUGCUACAAUGGCAGGUAUAAUAAGACGCAAUACCGUGAGGUGGAGCAAAUCUCUAAAGCCUGUCCCAGUCCGGAUUGGAGUCUGCAACUCGACUCCAUGAAGUUGGAAUCGCUAGUAAUCCCGAAUCAGAAUGUCGGGGUGAAUACGUUCCCGGGUGUUGUACACACCGCCCGUCACGCCAUGGGAGUCGGUAAUACCCGAAGUUGGUAGCCUAACCUGUUUACAGGAGGGGGCCAUCGAAGGUAGGAUUGGCGACUGGGGUGAAGUCGUAACAAGGUAUCCCUACGGGAACGUGGGGAUGGAUCACCUCCUUUCUAAGGAGUAUAUUAUUCCUAUAUCUUAGUGCUUAUUUUCGUUUUGCUUGGUUUUGAGAGAUUGUUUUCUCUCAGCAAGGGAUAUUCCCUUGAAAUAGUUCUUUGAAAACUAGAUAUUGCAAGUUAUGUUGAUUAUUCAAUAUAACGAUUACUAUAUUUAUUAAGUGUAUAGUAAUAAUCUCAUCAAAUUAGGAUAUUUAAUAUCAAUUAAAUGGUGGUUAAAUUAGUAAGGGCGCAUGGUGGAUGCCUUGGCACUAGAAGCUGAUGAAGGACGUGACGAACAACGAUAUGCUUUGGGGAGCUGUAAGUACGCUUUGAUCCAGAGAUUUCCGAAUGGGGGAACCCAGCAGUAGUAACUUACUGUUAUUCUAUUGUGAAUACAUAGCAAUAGUAAGAGCAACCCGGUGAACUGAAACAUCUUAGUAGCCGGAGGAAAAGAAAGAAAAAUCGAUUUCCUUAGUAGUGGCGAGCGAAAAGGAAUUAGCCCAAACCAAGUCUUCGGACUUGGGGUUGUAGGACCAAUAUAUGAGAGUUACAAAGUUAUUUCAUAGUUGAAUUAGAUGGAAAGCUAAACAAUAUAAGGUGAAAGUCCUGUAAACGAAAUGAAAUAACCUCUCUUUGGUAUCCUGAGUACGGCGAUACACGUGGAAUUUCGUCGGAAUCAGCGGGGACCAUCCCGUAAGGCUAAAUACUCUCUAGUGACCGAUAGUGAACA